ACACAUUGCAGAAUGAAGGUGUUCUCCUGCCUCUCUGUGUAGUAAGAUACCCAGCGACACGUGGCCACAGGACAAGAAGGGGUAAGUGAAAUCAUUUUAAUAUAAUAUCAGCGUAUGAGAAACCACAAAAGAAAGAAAACAUUUUUCCUGGAAAAUUCUGCAUAUGUAUAUAUUGCAUUGUCUUACAGACAAAUUUACAUCAAAUACAUGAUAUGUUUUAAAACACUGAUUCGAAGAGGACAACAAAUUAAUUUUUCUCCUUCUGUACAGACAUGGGAGUGUGAUUUCUUUCCUGUUGCUAUCGCCUGCUGUUCUUUAGGAGGAGUACUCGUAUUCUUCAGCACUGCGGCGUCCAAAAUCCAUCCAGCCCAUGUAGUCUCUGUCAUUUAUCCUGUGUGUGGGAUCAAUGCUCUGUACCCUGUUUCCUAGGACAGAGAACCUCCCAGUGGAACCUUUCCAGGCUUGCUGCAGGUACUUGGCCAGCAGCGCGCCGAUCGUCGCCCUCUGCUCGAAGCUGCCAUCCAGCCGCGGUGCGGGCUUCAGCGGCCCCGCCGAGGAGGGUGCGCGGGAGUGCCGGUGGGGUUCUGUCAGGCUCUGCUGGAGCUCAGCAGCCACAGGGCUGCCAUCGUGUGAGCCCGCGGGCUGCUGGCCGAGGGAGCUCACCGACAGCGCAGCGAGGAGCACGCAGAUGCAGAUGCCGCCGUACAUCGCUUCCUCCUUCCCUUCCUUCCCCG
RNAcentral lists this long non-coding RNA (734 nucleotides) under Gallus gallus (chicken). Lineage: Eukaryota; Metazoa; Chordata; Aves; Galliformes; Phasianidae. The record is from RNAcentral.